Molecule: ribosomal RNA, 120 nt
Filed under: Salmo salar (Atlantic salmon)
Lineage: Eukaryota; Metazoa; Chordata; Actinopteri; Salmoniformes; Salmonidae
Source: RNAcentral
GCUUACGGCCAUACCAGCCUGGGUACGCCCGAUCUCGUCUGAUCUCGGAAGCUAAGCAGGGUAGGGCCUGGGUUAGUACUUGGAUGGGAGACCGCCUGGGAAUACCAGGUGCUGUAAGGA